Triticum dicoccoides is the source of this 180-nucleotide long non-coding RNA. RefSeq lists it as uncharacterized. The record is from RefSeq and is a predicted model, not a curated record. Lineage: Eukaryota; Viridiplantae; Streptophyta; Magnoliopsida; Poales; Poaceae. The transcript has 3 exons.
GCCAGACCUACAGGAGGGCCACGGCUGUAACUUAAGGGGCAGGUUGAGCAUUUUUCUGAAACUUCUAUGCACAGGGAAGACUAGCCUUAGUCUGAAACUGGGAGGAGCAAGUGAAUUAAACGCUCAAGGCCAGCAGCAGCAAGCCACAAAGGCAAGCAGCAUCGGCAAGCAAAACAACCA